This 329-nucleotide ribosomal RNA is filed under the name Clostridioides difficile. RNAcentral's name for it is "bacterial LSU rRNA". It matches the Rfam family "Bacterial large subunit ribosomal RNA", at positions 2161 to 2488 of the family's 2925-position model. Lineage: Bacteria; Bacillati; Bacillota; Clostridia; Peptostreptococcales; Peptostreptococcaceae. The record is from RNAcentral.
GUUUAAGACGCCAGUUUUGGCGGAGCCAUCCUCGGGCUACCACCCUUGUAGUACUGGGACUCUAACCAUAGUCCAUGAAUUUGGGCUUGGGACACUGUCAGGUGGGCAGUUUGACGGGGGCGGUCGCCUCCCAAAAGGUAACGGAGGCGCUCAAAGGUUCUCGCAGUACGGUCGGAAAUCGUACGUAGAGUGUAAAGGCAAAAGAGAGCUUGAUUGCAAGACAUACAGGUCGAGCAAGGAUGAAAAUCGGACUUAGUGAUCCGGUGGUUCUGCGUGGAAGGGCCAUCGCUCAACGGAUAAAAGCUACCCUGGGGAUAACAGGCUUAUCU